GCACAGUGUGUCACCAGAGAGGAACAGAAUAUCCUUGCUGUGCCAAGAAAGAAAAGACCAUGGAUCUACUAGUUGCAGAUUUCAGCAGUAAUGCCAAGGGGGCAAGAAGUGACCAGCAGAACAAUUAGGCCGUGGCAGCAGAAGCCAACUACAACCCAUGUUCCAAUCUAUGACCUCCCUCUCCUGCUGGUACAAGGAUAUGGUGGACAGCCCUUCCUGCCAGGGCACAUGGUUAACGGAGUGGAGCAUGGAAUGAAUCUCAGAAAAC
RNAcentral lists this long non-coding RNA (268 nucleotides) under Pan troglodytes (chimpanzee). RNAcentral describes it as "long non-coding RNA NONPTRT007789". The record is from RNAcentral. Lineage: Eukaryota; Metazoa; Chordata; Mammalia; Primates; Hominidae.